UACGUAGGGUGCAAGCGUUGUCCGGAAUUAUUGGGCGUAAAGAGCUCGUAGGCGGUCUGUCGCGUCGGCUGUGAAAACUCGGGGCUCAACCCCGAGCCUGCAGUCGAUACUGGCAGACUAGAGUGCGGUAGGGGAGACUGGAAUUCCUGGUGUAGCGGUGAAAUGCGCAGAUAUCAGGAGGAACACCGGUGGCGAAGGCGGGUCUCUGGGCCGUAACUGACACUGAGGGACGAAAGCUAGGGGAGCGAAAGGG
This 253-nucleotide ribosomal RNA is filed under the name uncultured bacterium. Its description in RNAcentral is "partial 16S ribosomal RNA". It matches the Rfam family "Bacterial small subunit ribosomal RNA", at positions 524 to 776 of the family's 1533-position model. The record is from RNAcentral.